AUACGUAGGUGGCAAGCGUUGUCCGGAUUUACUGGGUGUAAAGGGCGUGUAGGCGGAGAUGCAAGUCAGGAGUGAAAUCUAGGGGCUCAACCCCUAAACUGCUUUUGAAACUGUAUCCCUUGAGUAUCGGAGAGGCAGGCGGAAUUCCUAGUGUAGCGGUGAAAUGCGUUAAUAUUAGGAGGAACACCAGUGGCGAAGGCGGCCUGGUGGGCGGCAACUGACCGUGAGGCGCGAAAGCCUGGGGAACAAACAGGAUUAGAGUCCCUGGGAGUCCACGCCUUAAACGAUGAAUACUAGGUGUUGGGGGACUGACCCCCUCCGUGGCGCAGGUAACACAAAAAGGAAUCCACCUGGGGAGGACGAACGCAAAAUUUAAACUCAAAGGAAUUGACGGGG
This 396-nucleotide ribosomal RNA is filed under the name uncultured bacterium. Its description in RNAcentral is "partial 16S ribosomal RNA". It matches the Rfam family "Bacterial small subunit ribosomal RNA", at positions 523 to 918 of the family's 1533-position model. The record is from RNAcentral.